UACGGGGGGGGCAAGCGUUGUUCGGAAUUACUGGGCGUAAAGAGUGUGUAGGCGGUUCUGCAAGUUUGGUGUGAAAUCUCCCGGCUUAACUGGGAGGGUGCGCCGAAAACUGCAAAGCUAGAGUACUGGAGAGGAAAGCGGAAUUCCUGGUGUAGCGGUGAAAUGCGUAGAUAUCAGGAGGAACACCGGUGGUGUAGACGGCUUUCUGGACAGUAACUGACGCUGAGACACGAAAGCGUGGGGAGCAAACAGG
This 253-nucleotide ribosomal RNA is filed under the name uncultured bacterium. RNAcentral's name for it is "partial 16S ribosomal RNA". It matches the Rfam family "Bacterial small subunit ribosomal RNA", at positions 524 to 776 of the family's 1533-position model. The record is from RNAcentral.